GACGAACGCUGGCGGCGUGCCUAAUACAUGCAAGUAGAACGCACAGUUUAUACCGUAGCUUGCUACACCAUAGACUGUGAGUUGCGAACGGGUGAGUAACGCGUAGGUAACCUGUCUGGUAGCGGGGGAUAACUAUUGGAAACGAUAGCUAAUACCGCAUAAUAUUAAUUAUUGCAUGAUAAUUAAUUGAAAGGUGCAAUUGCACCACUACCAGAUGGACCUGCGUUGUAUUAGCUAGUAGGUGAGGUAACGGCUCACCUAGGCGACGAUACAUAGCCGAACUGAGGGGGUGGUCGGCCCCACUGGGACUGAGACACGGCCCAGACUCCUACGGGAGGCAGCAGUAGGGAAACUUCGGGAAUUGACGAAAAUCUUACCGAGCAAAGCCGCGUGAGUGAAGAAGGUUUUCGGAUCGUAAAGCUCUGUUUUAAGGGGAGAACGGGUGUGAGAGUGGAAAGUUCACACUGUGACGGUAUCUUACCAGAAAGGGACGGCUAACUACGUG
RNAcentral lists this ribosomal RNA (505 nucleotides) under uncultured bacterium. RNAcentral's name for it is "partial 16S ribosomal RNA". It matches the Rfam family "Bacterial small subunit ribosomal RNA", at positions 28 to 507 of the family's 1533-position model. The record is from RNAcentral.